RNAcentral lists this ribosomal RNA (424 nucleotides) under uncultured bacterium. RNAcentral describes it as "partial 16S ribosomal RNA". It matches the Rfam family "Bacterial small subunit ribosomal RNA", at positions 359 to 775 of the family's 1533-position model. The record is from RNAcentral.
GAAUAAUUGACAAUGGGCGAAAGCCUUAUCCAGCCAUUCCGCGAGCGUGAAGGAGGUCCUCGGUUUGUAAAGCACGUUAAGCUGGGAGGAAGGGCAGUAAGCGAAUACCUUGCUGUUUUGACGUUAGCGACAGAAUAAGCACCGGCUAACUCUGUGCCAGCAGCCGCGGUAAUACAGAGGGUGCAAGCGUUAAUCGGAAUUACUGGGCGUAAAGCGCGCGUAGGUGGUUCGUUAAGUUGGAUGUGAAAGCCCCGGGCUCAACCUGGGAACUGCAUCCAAAACUGGCGAGCUAGAGUAGGGCAGAGGGUGGUGGAAUUUCCUGUGUAGCGGUGAAAUGCGUAGAUAUAGGAAGGAACACCAGUGGCGAAGGCGACCACCUGGGCUCAUACUGACACUGAGGUGCGAAAGCGUGGGGAGCAAACAG